Molecule: ribosomal RNA, 274 nt
Filed under: uncultured bacterium
Lineage: Bacteria
Description: partial 16S ribosomal RNA
Rfam family: Bacterial small subunit ribosomal RNA
Source: RNAcentral
AGACGUAGGGGGCGAGCGUUGCGCGAAAUUACUGGGCGUAAAGGGUCCGUAGGCGGUCUGGUAAGUGGAAGGUGAAAGCCUGGGGCUCAACUCCAGAAUUGCCUUCCAAACUGCCGGACUUGAGGCAGGGAGAGGUCGGCGGAAUUCCCGGUGUAGCGGUGAGAUGCGUAGAUAUCGGGAGGAACACCAGUGGCGAAGGCGGCCGACUGGAACUGUCCUGACGCUGAGGGACGAAAGCCAGGGGAGCGAACCGGAUUAGAUACCCUAGUAGUCC